GACGAGAAGCUUGCUUCUCUGAUGUUAGCGGCGGACGGGUGAGUAACACGUGGAUAACCUACCUAUAAGACUGGGAUAACUUCGGGAAACCGGAGCUAAUACCGGAUAAUAUUUUGAACCGCAUGGUUCAAAAGUGAAAGACGGUCUUGCUGUCACUUAUAGAUGGAUCCGCGCUGCAUUAGCUAGUUGGUAAGGUAACGGCUUACCAAGGCAACGAUGCAUAGCCGACCUGAGAGGGUGAUCGGCCACACUGGAACUGAGACACGGUCCAGACUCCUACGGGAGGCAGCAGUAGGGAAUCUUCCGCAAUGGGCGAAAGCCUGACGGAGCAACGCCGCGUGAGUGAUGAAGGUCUUCGGAUCGUAAAACUCUGUUAUUAGGGAAGAACAUAUGUGUAAGUAACUGUGCACAUCUUGACGGUACCUAAUCAGAAAGCCACGGCUAACUACGUGCCAGCAGCCGCGGUAAUACGUAGGUGGCAAGCGUUAUCCGGAAUUAUUGGGCGUAAAGCGCGCGUAGGCGGUUUUUUAAGUCUGAUGUGAAAGCCCACGGCUCAACCGUGGAGGGUCAUUGGAAACUGGAAAACUUGAGUGCAGAAGAGGAAAGUGGAAUUCCAUGUGUAGCGGUGAAAUGCGCAGAGAUAUGGAGGAACACCAGUGGCGAAGGCGACUUUCUGGUCUGUAACUGACGCUGAUGUGCGAAAGCGUGGGGAUCAAACAGGAUUAGAUACCCUGGUAGUCCACGCCGUAAACGA
Molecule: ribosomal RNA, 754 nt
Filed under: Staphylococcus aureus
Lineage: Bacteria; Bacillati; Bacillota; Bacilli; Caryophanales; Staphylococcaceae
Description: bacterial SSU rRNA
Rfam family: Bacterial small subunit ribosomal RNA
Source: RNAcentral